Molecule: ribosomal RNA, 386 nt
Filed under: uncultured bacterium
Lineage: Bacteria
Description: bacterial SSU rRNA
Rfam family: Bacterial small subunit ribosomal RNA
Source: RNAcentral
AACGAACGCUGGCGGCAUGCCUAACACAUGCAAGUCGAACGGCAGCACGGGAGCAAUCCUGGUGGCGAGUGGCGAACGGGUGAGUAAUAUAUCGGAACGUGCCCAGUAGUGGGGGAUAGCCCGGCGAAAGCCGGAUUAAUACCGCAUGAGACCUGAGGGUGAAAGCGGGGGAUCGCAAGACCUCGCGCUAUUGGAGCGGCCGAUAUCUGAUUAGCUAGUUGGUGAGGUAAAGGCUCACCGAGGCGACGAUCAGUAGCUGGUUUGAGAGAACGACCAGCCACACUGGAACUGAGACACGGUCCAGACUCCUACGGAGGCAGCAGUGGGGAAUUUUGGACAAUGGGGGCAACCCUGAUCCAGCAAUGCCGCGUGAGUGAAGAAGGCCU